Molecule: long non-coding RNA, 1749 nt
Organism: Gasterosteus aculeatus aculeatus (three-spined stickleback)
Lineage: Eukaryota; Metazoa; Chordata; Actinopteri; Perciformes; Gasterosteidae
Source: Ensembl
GGGAGGUCUGGAGGCGGCGCUGCUAUUGGACACUUGACAGUAUAGUGUAUAUGGCGAGGCUCUGGUUAGCACACGGGCCUGUGACGGCCUCAGACAGGCUCACAUCUGACAUGAGCUUGUUGAUGUUGUGGCAGCUGUUGAUCUCACUUACGUGUUUUCGUUCAAUUCAAGCCGCUUCUCUGCAUUUCCUGGCUGCUCACGGAUCCCGUUGCCUCACCCUGACACUAAAAUUAGCGCCGCAGCUCUGGAUCUUUUAACGUAUGAUGUAAAAAUAGCAGCGAGGGAAGUCUGACCACCACACAGCAGAUAUCCAGAGCAGACGGAGUGUAAGGCGUUUAACUUAACGUUAACUGUUACUGGUCACAGCAGGGAAUGUAAACAGACAAACAGACUUUAAGAGGGAAAGAGACAGAAAGACAUCAGGCAACAGGAUGUUGUCAAAAAAGGAUUCGAAGAGAACUUUCAGCAACGGGUCGCUCAGAGACCAAUGGGAGCAGAAGGCUCAGAGCGUGGCCGACCAGUGCAAACAGGAGGCCGAAUGGAAGAAGAAAAGUUCCCACAAAAUAUCUUUCUCAAAAGUGGAAUUAUCACUGGUCACUUGUUUCCAAUGGAGACUUCAAGAAGCUCACCAGCGGAGCAGAUGAAGAGGAAAACAAGCCAAAAAUUAAAUUCAAAGUAGUCCCCCCUCCUCCCAAACCCAGACAUGAGCCCGCUCCCCCUCCUCCCCCCAAGAAAGCAGCUUCGCCCAAACUUCAUAGGCCAAAACGUAAAGUUGAAGUGGAUGUAUUUAAGCUCUGCUGGAAAGACUCCUGGAUGAGCCUGAAGCCACCAAAGUAUCUCUACCUGAAGGCCAAAGAGAUAAAAACCCAAAUCCCAGGGUUCACAACCAUAGAACUGACUAACAACAGGGAAUACAAACCAAAGGAAUACGGACUGGAGGACCAAUGGGCGUCUCCUGCUGAUGAAUGGCGUGACUCCUGGAAACAGGUGAGGAGUCCUGCCCAGCUGGAGCGCUCGGAGGAGAAACAAUCCCAGUCGAACAUUUUAUUUGAAAGAAUGAUGAAUUGCCAAACUGAGAUAGAAGUGUUUUCUCUUCCUGUCUGGGCCGGUACUUGGAAGAUGAUGAACUUUGCCUUCAGACAGGAAAAGAAGAAUUGGGAUCGUAUCUGGCCUGAAUAUCAACAAAUCUGCAGCAACAAGUUUGACCAAGUACAACAACUAGAGGAGCAGGAAGAGCCUUCGGACUGGGAGGGUUCAUGGAAGAUGUCGGGUAUUCAGCCUGAAACCAAAGACAUCGAGGAGCCAACCGCAAGCGCGAAAACCAUGGUGAUGACGAGGAUAAGCAACGUGUUCAUGCCCGGGUGGAGCGACUCCUGGCUACUCUCCGCUGCUCCUCCCGAGGAAGAAGAAGAACGCCGCAAAAACUGGAGCUCCUGCUGGGGAUUCAGGCAGCAGACCAGGUGGUGCCAGUCUUCGCUGCAGUCCCAUCAUGAACACAGCGCCAUGCUGACUAAGAGACGUGAAGACAAAAACCUCCUCCUCACGUCCCAGCUGGACGAGGAGAUCAUGGACAGCACAGAGUGGACGGAGGCCUGGAGGACUCCUAAAGGAUGGAUCAAACCAGAGGAGGACAAAAUGGACGAGAGGAUGAGUGACACAGACGGACAGGAGGAGGACGAAGGAGUGGAAUAUGAGGAGGAUGUAGAAGGAGAUGGGGAGAUGCAGGAAGAGGUGCAGGAGGAAGAAGAG